UACAGAGGUCUCAAGCGUUGUUCGGAUUCAUUGGGCGUAAAGGGUGUGUAGGCGGCGCGCUAAGUCGGGUGUGAAAUUUCGGAGCUUAACUCCGAAACUGCAUUCGAUACUGGCGUGCUUGAGGACUGGAGAGGAGACUGGAAUUCAUGGUGUAGCAGUGAAAUGCGUAGAGAUCAUGAGGAAGACCAGUGGCGAAGGCGGGUCUCUGGACAGUUCCUGACGCUGAGGCACGAAGGCCAGGGGAGCAAACGGG
Molecule: ribosomal RNA, 253 nt
Filed under: uncultured bacterium
Lineage: Bacteria
Description: partial 16S ribosomal RNA
Rfam family: Bacterial small subunit ribosomal RNA
Source: RNAcentral